AGCCACGCAAUGAGCACAAAGCGAACUAUUCUUUCGCCUUUUACUAAAGAAUACCGUGUGCGUGUUGCAAAUAGUGGCAUACGCCAAUUUUUGGAGGGGUUUUCUUUAUUGAAAGCC
This is a non-coding RNA of Solanum lycopersicum (tomato), 117 nucleotides long. The record is from Rfam. NCBI's taxonomy places the organism in Eukaryota, Viridiplantae, Streptophyta, Magnoliopsida, Solanales, Solanaceae.